This 488-nucleotide ribosomal RNA is filed under the name uncultured bacterium. RNAcentral's name for it is "bacterial SSU rRNA". It matches the Rfam family "Bacterial small subunit ribosomal RNA", at positions 29 to 493 of the family's 1533-position model. The record is from RNAcentral.
AUGAACGCCGGCGGUGUGCCUAAUACAUGCAAGUCGUACGCACUGGCCCAACUGAUUGAUGGUGCUUGCUCCUGAUUGACGAUGGAUCACCAGUGAUUGGCGGACGGGUGAGUAACACGUAGGUAACCUGCCCCGGAGCGGGGGAUAACAUUUGGAAACAGCUGCUAAUACCGCAUAACCACAAAAGCCGCAUGGUUUUUGUUUGAAAGAUGGCUUUGGCUAUCACUCUGGGAUGGACCUGCGGUGCAUUAUCUAGUUGGUAAGGUAACGGCUUACCAAGGCGAUGAUGCAUAGCCGAGUUGAGAGACUGAUCGGCCACAAUGGAACUGAGACACGGUCCAUACUCCUACGGGAGGCAGCAGUAGGGAAUCUUCCACAAUGGGCGCAAGCCCGAUGGAGCAACACCGCGUGAGAGAAGAAGGGUUUCGGCUCGAAAAGCUCUGUUGGUGGAGAAUAUCGUUGCGUGAGAAUAACUGUUCACGCAGUGU